Molecule: ribosomal RNA, 253 nt
Filed under: uncultured bacterium
Lineage: Bacteria
Description: partial 16S ribosomal RNA
Rfam family: Bacterial small subunit ribosomal RNA
Source: RNAcentral
UACGAAGGGGGCUAGCGUUGCUCGGAAUCACUGGGCGUAAAGGGUGCGUAGGUGGCGUCGUAAGUCGGGUGUGAAAUCUCGGGGCUUAACUCCGAAACUGCAUUCGAUACUGCGGUGCUUGAGGACUGGAGAGGAGACUGGAAUUUACGGUGUAGCAGUGAAAUGCGUAGAGAUCGUAAGGAAGACCAGUGGCGAAGGCGGGUCUCUGGAAAGUUCCUGACGCUGAGGAGCGAAAGCUAGGGGAGCAAACGGG